AACAAGAGAGUAUUUGACAAGCAUUGCUCACAGCAGAAUGUAAAGUUUAUAAGAUCUAAACGGAUAACCCUAGCAUUGCACAUUUAAGCUUGCGUCGUAACAUAUCACACAUGGAGUAGGAAACUUGGUAAACUCAGUUAGUAGCCCUUUUUGUUGCUUACUUGUUAGUGCUUAUUUCGAAAGAAAGCUGAAGAAAUGUGGGUAAACAUCCACUAAAUCAAUUAGGGAACAUGUGACUCAAGGCAUAUAACACAAACAGGUUCAGCAAACAUUAUUGGUUUACCAAAGUCCACCAGGAAACAUGUGCAACAAAGAAAAACAGAAAAGCAAGUCAUCUUGCAGAGAAGUAGAAGUCAACCACAGAAAUUUCUAAUCUUCUGUAAAGCACUUGCGCAGUCAAAUACAGAAUAAUGGAAUCUCAGUUUACCUACUUAAAAACCACUUGAUAUGAAAGGAAACUUUUCUACAAAGUAAUCUUGCAGAAUAAGCUCCAGAAGCUGCCAAUACUCCAUCAUGACUUGGAUGAUUUUUCGAAUCCAGAAUUAAUGGCUUAUAAUGCAUCUGAAAAGGUAGAAUACAGCUGAAUCAGUUCACUCUUGCGCACGUCAUUAACAUGUAUUAAGGAAUACUGCAAAAUCUAGACAAGAAUGGAGAAACUAAUUACAAACAGGAAAAAAAGAAGUAUUCCAUGGAUAGGCAAACUCUCUAUCGAUCAUACAUGUAUGACAAGCAGAAGUAACGGCUAUACGUUGCCGGUUGAAUCCACCCACAGCAUAAAUAAAGAUAUACCAAGUAGUUUCAUUCUCUGACACAAAAUCUGCAGAAUAGUUUGUCAUGAGGUUUCUAACUAUGAUUGAUAAACAUAAAUAGAGGUUUAUUAGGACGGAUUCUACUAACUGCAUCGCCGACACGGGGAUGAUGCACGGCUGUCAACUGCGAAAGAUGCCAAAGCACACAAAUAAAAGAGGCCACUGAGCCCAACCCGUGACACAGCACCAAACAGUGCACACGGACGAAAAGAUGGUCUCCGAGUCCAGUCGUGACCCAGCACCGAUAAGUGCGCACGGAACAAAACAAAUGCAGUGAAAUAAUCCCCUACGAGGGCACAGUCGUAAAAAAAUAGUGCAAUUGCAUCCCCUGGGUUGGCAUGUGCUAUACAUUAGCACGGGGCUUUUUGUUCAAAUUCCUUUUUUAAAGAUUUUUUCAACACAACACCUCUUGUAUCCUUGCCUUGUCGGUUGUCGCUCAUCACUUGAACAACUCCAGCACCGCCACCAUCGCCGGGAUGCAGCUCUAACAGCAAAAACCGGAAGCCAACCAUGGCGACUAGCGUGUCUGGCUGCGGCGGCCAUGGAGAGGAGCGCUUGAAGCCAGCCAUGGUGUUCAAUCGCAGCUGCCAUGAGGUUCAUGAGCCAUAUCCGGACCUCCUGCAGCAAUCAGAAUCGAGAAAAAUUUCAGUAACAUAUUGCUGUCUCUGGAUUCGGAAAUGCCUAAAGCAAGAAUUACAUCGAACUUCAAAUAAGAAACACGGACUUCCCUUAUUCAAAAUGAAAGUAAUUUCCAACGGAAAUAACAGCCCUACAAAUUCAAAUAAGAAACACCAAGGAAAAAAAGCCUGCCUAUGAAACGGCCCUGUUCCGUUCCUUGGAGUCUGCCUAUGCUCUCCGCGCUCUUGCCCUUCGCCAUAUUAGAUCAAUGUUCAGCAUCAGUAAUAGUACGGCAGCAGAAUUUUAACUUGCCUAAAAUAAAGUCUACUGCUUGGUGAGAAAAUGUAGCAGUAGCAAACGAAACCUCAAGCAGAUUAAACAUUUACUAUAGUACAUGGACUUCUCGUAACCACAGAAUUACCAGGCCAUCAGUAACAGCUCGGCAGAACAUGAGAAAAUGUCAAAGACAAGGAUCACCAUUUUCAGGAAAUAAAAACAGUGAGCAUAUUACAGAAGUUAGAAGUAAUGUAAACAGUGAGCAUACAGCUAGCUCUAGUGUCACCAACUAGGAUAAUUACCGAUGCUUCACAUUCACUUCCAUGUCAAUCACUUAAGUGGAGAUAAAACUGAAACUUCCUUGCUAUAACAACCACAACAUAUUAACAAAAAUGAGCGAUGCAGCUCUAUACCUACUAAGAAAAUCCAUCAACACGCACACACUCAUCAGAUUCCGACACAAUAUAUAUGUAUCCCACAUGACUGAGUUACAUGUGUGGAUGUGCUUCCAUACAGCCAGCAAUCAAGACAUCCUCAUGUCCCUUAAGCAAGACAGGACUUGCACAAUGGUUGAAUGUGAAAGAUAUUCUCGUGAAAAUAUCUCUCGCGGCCUGCAGUGAGAAAAUAGAACAAAUUAUCCAACUGCACAGCAUAUUCCUAUUCUUGUCUAGCUAUUAAAAUGUAAAACAAAAAAUAAUUAUCAGGUGUUCAUAGUCUAAAAUCUGUUGCUUAUACUAUUUACCUGUAUCAACAUGUACUGAUAAAAUGCCAUGGAUAUUUGCACAGCUAUCAAGCAAAACAGCAUCAUAUAUAACUUCCAUAUUUGCACAGCUAUCAACUAAAGCAGCAUUAUAUAUCAACCCAGCAUUUUUUUAAGAAUCUUCUACUAACAGAAAUAAUUCUUUAGGAUAGUGCUAACCAGAUCUCUGUAGCCAAAUAAUAAGAGCCUGAGUCAUGUCCAAAUUACCACAAUCAGAGAACCAACAUUAUCCUUUUUGCUUACUAGUUUCAUUAUAUAUGCAAAACAUAUGGAUAAGCAACCUGGAAAUAUUCGCGCAUUUCAUCAUGAUGGCAAAGAAGUAGUGAUCUUUACCUUGAUCAAACAAGGAGAGCAGUUACUUCAUUUGCUAAUCCUAUUCCAUUCUAGCCGGUGCAUGCAGAGUCAAAUUCCAACUAAUAGUAUCAUCAUUUUAAGAUCUGUAACCUCCUCUUA
Molecule: long non-coding RNA, 2916 nt
Filed under: Triticum aestivum (bread wheat)
Lineage: Eukaryota; Viridiplantae; Streptophyta; Magnoliopsida; Poales; Poaceae
Description: long non-coding RNA (TAES_LNC008031)
Source: RNAcentral